GAUGAACGCUGGCGGCGUGCCUAAUACAUGUAAGUCGAGCGAACGGACGAGAAGCUUGCUUCUCUGAUGUUAGCGGCGGACGGGUGAGUAACACGUGGAUAACCUACCUAUAAGACUGGGAUAACUUCGGGAAACCGUAGCUAAUACCGGAUAAUAUUUUGAACCGCAUGGUUCAAAAGUGAAAGACGGUCUUGCUGUCACUUAUAGAUGGAUCCGCGCUGCAUUAGCUAGUUGGUAAGGUAACGGCUUACCAAGGCAACGAUGCAUAGCCGACCUGAGAGGGGGGGGGGACACACGGGGAACUGAGACGCGGUCCGGACUCCGGGGGGAGGCAGCAGGAGGGAUUCUCCCGGAGGGGGAAAAGCCCUGAGGGAGCAGCGCCGGGGGGGUGAGGAGGGUCUCGGGACGGAAAAACUGUGUUAUGGGGAAAAAAAAGAUGUGAAAGUAACUGUACACUUCUGGGGGGGCCAUAACAAGAAAGCCAGGGCAAACUACGGC
Molecule: ribosomal RNA, 498 nt
Filed under: uncultured bacterium
Lineage: Bacteria
Description: partial 16S ribosomal RNA
Rfam family: Bacterial small subunit ribosomal RNA
Source: RNAcentral